Austrofundulus limnaeus is the source of this 2002-nucleotide long non-coding RNA. RefSeq lists it as uncharacterized. The transcript has 3 exons. The record is from RefSeq and is a predicted model, not a curated record. NCBI's taxonomy places the organism in Eukaryota, Metazoa, Chordata, Actinopteri, Cyprinodontiformes, Rivulidae.
GGUUUAGGAUGCAGAGUCGGGUGGGAYGGGUUCUGAAUUAGUUUGGACAAAGUAGAGAUUUUUGUAUCUUUGUUGACUUAUGGCAGUGUGUCAUGUUGGACUCGCCAUGAUGAAGGAAAGAAAAAAGGUGUAGAUCACGUCACAAGGCUGAUGUCCUGGUGUCUGGCUCACGGUAAAGAAGGAGGAGAAGUGGGAAGUGAGGGGAUGCACCUCUGACCUGUGUCUGGCUGCAGCUUCCCACACAGCCCACCCCUGCUCCCUGCAUUGUUUUACACCUUUUUUUUCCUUUUUCUCCCCCUGGCUGUGCAUUCUUCUCUGUUCCUCCUCAUCCUUGGCUCAGAGGAGAUAACAAAAGGUGCAGUCGGUGGCAGACGGACCAACGAACUCACAGUUGUACAUCAGGUGGYGCGGCAGCCUUCAUUUUGCCUGGCAUUUCCUGCAGAGAAAAAGACAGUCGGAGACAUCAUCUCACUGCUUUUGUGCUUUGUAUAGUUGUUUUUAUCUAAAGKGGAGGAGUUGUGUUGUGAGUCAGCGGUUUGGCUGCUUAGUACUUAGUUAAAAAGCGACUURGGAAUGUUUUUAAUUUGAAUCUCUUAUUAUUCAUUAAGCUUUUUUACAUCAGUUAAUGUUCAGUUUCGUAGCUUGGAGCUGCUCGGCAUUAUUUUUAACUAGAAAGUGUUUUAUGUCCGAACAAAGCUCGUCACCUUUGACUGGUAACUUGCUACAGUUCGGCUGGUUGAAGUAAUAGAAAGUGAAAUGGGGGACUUAGUUUUGUAGGCAGAUUGCAAAAUAAACUUGCUCAUUUCUGAUGAUGAUUUAUUGAAAAGCCUUUUUAGGUGGAAUUUUACUUGUUUGUUUAUUGUUGUUUUUUUUUUUAGCUGAGCUGCCCACAGAGCAUAGAUAGAUUUCUCUUUUUUUUUGGUGGACGGUACUGUGAAUAAAAACUGAACCUGUUCGGGCUUUUGCCACUCUCUGAGGCAGCUCUCAGGAAGACUCGGUCCAGCAGACGGAUCCCGGUCCAGCUGUUUUAGCAGGGAGAAGUGUCGACUGAUGUUCAGCUGAAGCUCUUUAGGACAAAGAAGCUGGCCUGGCUGCCUGACUGAAGGAGGGCUUUCCCUUCUCCAGCACAAAGUGGUGACAGCCCUCUGACUGGGACCUCCAUCUUUUCACACACCAACCUAAGAAGGAGGGAGGUGCAGAGGAAUGAGCAGCACUGCAGGAGAGGAUGGAAGAAAAGAUGAAGCAGGAUGGAGUGGACAUCAACAGUGACCCAGCUGUGGCAAAACGUCCAUCUGCUGAGAAUGAGCAGGAGAGCAACAACCACAGAUGCAAGGACACAACUGAAGGUUUACAAAAGGAAUGGAUUAAACGGAAGGAGAAAAACUCUUCGUGUUCCUUAUUCCCUCAUCCCUCAAAGAAUGACCACACCAUUGGUGGAUGUGGUCCUUGGCCCAGCCUGAUGCAUUUUUAAAAUGCGUGACAUUGCCUCUGUGGGAGUGUGUGAACCAAGCUUCCUCAAUAGUAGGGUCCCCAUACCCGGUCUGUGACCAUGGAAACAGAUGCCUGGCCUCCCGGCCCUUCUUACCUCCUGUUGAUCGUGGGCUGUGAGCUGCUCGGCCAGUGAAAGGGGGCUGCGCCCUCCUUUCUCCUCGCUCUGACUGAACUUGCCCUGAUCCUCAAAAGGAACCAUUGAACAGGUCUAGACUUUCUUUGCACGGUCCAUGGAGAAGCCUUGAUGUUACCCUUGCUCUUCUUUCUCUCUUCCUUUUUCUGUCUGCCUGCCACACCAGGCGCCCAGUGACUGCAGACUCCAGAUGGGUAGGGACACUGGAGACUUGGAUUUGAAAAGGAGCCCAUCUCAUUUUGCCAUUGUGCCUUUUCAUUCAUCGAUCACAUGAAUAUCGAACCUUCUGUGUGAAACUGAAAGUUCAGGUUCAUGUUUGAGGCCCAGAGCUAAAACUGCUUGUGAGUGUUGUUUUUAAUAAAAAAACCUAACUUCCCA